This is a non-coding RNA of Scylla paramamosain (green mud crab), 68 nucleotides long. Lineage: Eukaryota; Metazoa; Arthropoda; Malacostraca; Decapoda; Portunidae. The record is from the annotation of a RefSeq genome assembly.
ACUAUUUUGUCAGAUAAUAUGUACUAGAUUUAGGAUCUAGCUAAAUAGAAUAAAUUCUAUAAAUAGUA